CAAAAUAAAGAGGAAAAGAACGGGACACACAAUGAAACCAAACAGGAAGAAAACACCUGCUGAUUACACAAAACAACCACAUUCUGUUCAGAAAGCAGAAAACACACUGUACUGGUCAGAAGCCAGCUGCUCUGUUCAAUCACAACCAAGUUACACAAAAACAACACAAAAUGACACAAAAGGAUGCUUGAACAACAAAAAAGUGACCUAAAGACACAACAGGGUGAUGAAGGAACGAAUGUCUGUCCUCAGAAACAACCAGCGUGUUAUCUGCAGCUUUUCAGCAAAGAUUAAAAACAAACCAACAGAAAAACCUCGCCUAGCAGCAGAAAAUCACUUUGAAAUAAAGAUUUGAGCAGAACAAACCCAGCCCACUACUUUCUCUUCAUUUUUUACCAAGAACGUUUAUUUUUUUCUGACUUUACUGAUUUGACUAUUUUUGCCUGUUAGAUCAGAUUUACAGCCUCUUUAUGGAAGACAAGAAUUCUUUACGUUCUCUGAGGUGUCCCUGAACGCAUCGUCCGCUAAACCCGUCCUGAGGUGUCCCUGAACGCAUCGUCCGCUAAACACGUCCUGAGGUGUCCCUGAAUGCAUCGUCCGCUAAACACGUCCUGAGGUGUCCCUGAACGCAUCGUCCGCUAAACCCGUACUCUGAGGUGUCCCUGAACGCAUCGUCAGCUAAACACGUCCUGAGGUGUCCCUGAAUGCAUCGUCCGCUAAACCCGUCCUGAGGUGUCCCUGAACGCAUCGUCCGCUAAACCCGUACUCUGAGGUGUCCCUGAACGCAUCGUCAGCUAAACCCGUACUCUGAGGUGUCCCUGAACGCAUCGUCAGCUAAACCCGUCCUGAGGUGUCCCUGAACGCAUCGUCAGCUAAACCCGUACUCUGAGGUGUCCCUGAACGCAUCGUCCGCUAAACCCGUACUCUGAGGUGUCCCUGAACGCAUCGUCCGCUAAACCCGUACUCUGAGGUGUCCCUGAACGCAUCGUCAGCUAAACCCGUACUCUGAGGUGUCCCUGAACGCAUCGUCCGCUAAACCCGUACUCUGAGGUGUCCCUGAACGCAUCGUCCGCUAAACCCGUACUCUGAGGUGUCCCUGAACGCAUCGUCCGCUAAACCCGUACUCUGAGGUGUCCCUGAACGCAUCGUCCGCUAAACCCGUACUCUGAGGUGUCCCUGAACGCAUCGUCCGCUAAACCCGUACUCUGAGGUGUCCCUGAACGCAUCGUCUGCUAAACACGUACUCUGAGGUGUCCCUGAACGCAUCGUCCGCUAAACCCAUCCUGAGGUGUCCCUGAACGCAUCGUCCGCUAAACCCAUCCUGAGGUGUCCCUGAACGCAUCGUCCGCUAAACCCGUACUCUGAGGUGUCCCUGAACACAUCGUCAGCUAAACCCGUACUCUGAGGUGUCCCUGAACACAUCGUCCGCUAAACCCGUCCUGAGGUGUCCCUGAACGCAUCGUCCGCUAAACCCGUCCUGAGGUGUCCCUGAACGCAUCGUCUGCUGAAACCCUAAAACUCCAGUUAUUCUUAC
Molecule: long non-coding RNA, 1534 nt
Organism: Acanthochromis polyacanthus (spiny chromis)
Lineage: Eukaryota; Metazoa; Chordata; Actinopteri; Pomacentridae
Exons: 7
Source: RefSeq, a predicted model, not a curated record